Molecule: long non-coding RNA, 1486 nt
Filed under: Sus scrofa (pig)
Lineage: Eukaryota; Metazoa; Chordata; Mammalia; Artiodactyla; Suidae
Description: lncRNA (ENSSSCG00025009769.1)
Source: RNAcentral
AUGUUUUUUGAAGGAACAUGGCCUGGGGAGGUCUUCCGUGAGAAGUUCGCGCCUUUUCCAAAGGUGUCUUCGCUGUCUUCUUUUGGGGAAACCGACUCCACUCUGCCUUCUGUGUGCCUGCCUGUGGUCCCCAACAGCAGGAAGACCUGCGGCCACCGUGCAGAGGAUGCUGUGACGCUCACCGUGUUUUCUUUUCUGUCAUUGCAGGUGGACGGGACAGACGGUGAAAGCUUGUGGAGCACUGUGAGUCUGUGUGGCAGCGUCCACGAUGAAGAUGACACAGACUCGGUGGUGGAGAGCAGCAACAGCCACCAGGACGAGGAGGCUGCAGAAUCUUGCUUUGGGAGGAAAGGAUCUUGCUUCAGGAGCCUGAGGAUAAGUUUGUCCUCUGCGAGCUUGGCUAGACUAAUCCCCUGGUGGCCGCACAACAGGGUGCACCCAGCCACUGAGCCAGAUGAAGGUACUGUGGAACCUGACUCAGUACACUCAGGCAUGAACGAUGAUUCUGGUUCAUUCAGUGCUCCAGAUUUCAGAACAAACUCUACAGGUGCUAAGCCGUAUCUCUCUUCUAGUGCAUGGUGCAAAUUCAAAUGAACUAACUCGGAGUUCCGGUCGUGGCGCAGUGGUUAAGGACUCCGACUAGGAACCAUGAGGUUGCGAGUUGGAUCUCUGGCCUUGCUCAGUGGGUUAAGGAUCCGGGGUUGCCGUGAGCUGUGGUGUUGGCCACAGAUGCGGUUCGAAUCCCGAGUUGCAGUGGCUGUGGCGUAGGCCAGUGGCUACAACUCUGAUUAGACCCCUCUCCUGGGAGCCUGCGCAUGCCAAGGGAAGCGGGCCUAGAAAAGGCAAAAUGACCAAAACCCAACCAACCAACCAAAACCCAAAUUGAAUCACUCCCUGGGCACUUUCACAACCAUGAAAAUAAUGGUUCGUUUAAACUCAACAUUUGGUUCCUGGUUAAUAGCAGAGAUGCCCUCACUCAUGUUUUGACAUUUACUAAUAGUUGAUAUUUGGGCUAGUUGUGCUGGAUCUCUCCAUGGAACCACAUUUCCCAACUUGAAAACAAUACUAGACGCGAUUUAGAACAAGGUCAUAUGAACAAGACAUGGUGAACAGAUAUCACAGAGAGCUCCCGUAAGCCAUUCCUCCAAUGUCCACCAUUGACAACGUCCAGCACGGAAUGGGGAACAUGUGGUGCCCUGAGCGGCAAAAGAGUCAUACCAUUUUAGUCAGUGAGAAGUUCCCCGUUUACAUUCAGAUUCAUUUUUGUGCUGUGACGUUAGUUGAGGUUGGACACCUGCACAAUGUUAGGAGUCCCUGGUAUGUUAUUACCAUAGAGGACGUGUACACUGCCGUUUGUAGCAGCGGGUUAUUCCCAAUAGCCAAAAGGUGAAACCACUCCCAAAAGACAAGAAGAGAUCAGGGGACAGAUCCAAUGUGCCGUGUACCCAGAAGAGAACAGUAUUCUGCCAGAAACAAAAUUAAACUU